GAAAGGCUUUAGCUUAAUUAAAGUGUUUGUUUUGCAUACAAAAGAUGUGGGUUAGUGUCCUGCAAGUCU
Molecule: transfer RNA, 69 nt
Filed under: Callogobius nigromarginatus
Lineage: Eukaryota; Metazoa; Chordata; Actinopteri; Gobiiformes; Gobiidae
Description: tRNA-Ala
Rfam family: tRNA
About the family: Transfer RNA (tRNA) molecules are approximately 80 nucleotides in length. Their secondary structure includes four short double-helical elements and three loops (D, anti-codon, and T loops). Further hydrogen bonds mediate the characteristic L-shaped molecular structure. tRNAs have two regions of fundamental functional importance: the anti-codon, which is responsible for specific mRNA codon recognition, and the 3' end, to which the tRNAs corresponding amino acid is attached (by aminoacyl-tRNA synthetases). tRNAs cope with the degeneracy of the genetic code in two manners: having more than one tRNA (with a specific anti-codon) for a particular amino acid; and 'wobble' base-pairing, i.e. permitting non-standard base-pairing at the 3rd anti-codon position.
Source: RNAcentral